This 272-nucleotide ribosomal RNA is filed under the name uncultured prokaryote. RNAcentral describes it as "partial 16S ribosomal RNA". It matches the Rfam family "Bacterial small subunit ribosomal RNA", at positions 524 to 796 of the family's 1533-position model. The record is from RNAcentral.
UACGGAGGAUGCAAGCGUUAUCCGGAAUUAUUGGGCGUAAAGGGUCCGUAGGUGGUGAAUCAAGUCUGCUGUCAAAGUGCAGAGCUUAACUCUGUAAAGGCAGUGGAAACUGAUUAACUAGAGUGCGGUAGGGGUAGAGGGAAUUCCAGGUGUAGCGGUGAAAUGCGUAGAUAUCUGGAAGAACACCAGUGGCGAAGGCGCUCUACUGGGCCUGCACUGACACUGAGGGACGAAAGCUAGGGGAGCGAAAGGGAUUAGAUACCCCGUAGUCC